Small nucleolar RNA from Castor canadensis (American beaver), 85 nucleotides. Lineage: Eukaryota; Metazoa; Chordata; Mammalia; Rodentia; Castoridae. The record is from Ensembl.
GGCAGAUGAUGUCCUUUUCUCACGAUGGUCUGCGGAUGUCUCUGGGCAGUGCCGAUAAUGCCAAAAGCUCUACUGAUGCCAGGAG